This is a long non-coding RNA of Marmota monax (woodchuck), 1650 nucleotides long. RefSeq lists it as uncharacterized. Lineage: Eukaryota; Metazoa; Chordata; Mammalia; Rodentia; Sciuridae. The record is from RefSeq and is a predicted model, not a curated record. The transcript is spliced from 4 exons.
UUGUCAGGACAUGGCCAUGAAGCUUGCUCUUCGAGUUUUGACUGUAUAGUUGUCAUUGUUUCAAUCAAGUGCAAAAGAGGUUACUCCUGUUUACUUAGUGUAAUAGCUGUUUACUGUUAAAACUUUAAAGACUCAUAAAAGUAAGGCUGCUGUAUUUUAAAGAUCUCAUCAUUCUUGUGGGAGAGACACAACACCAACUCCAGGAAAGGCAACAGAUUGCUUCUGUCAUAUCGCUUGGCUGUUUUAGAGUGUACUUAAAGGAUUAUGAUUGAUAAGGCUGUCUUGCCAGAGAAUGUUGACACAGGUGUGCAUCGUUAUCUUAAUUAAGAUCCUGAGAAAAUGUUGUCUAUAAAUGGAGACAUAAGAAGGGCAGCAUAUUUUUUUGUACAGUUUUGCUUUUGGAGAAUUUAAUUGCACUUGAAACCUCUCUUUCUGCUUGCAGAUUUUGUGAGCAGCUUGGCAUCAGAAGUUUUAGAGAGAAAUGGUAGUUUAAUGUUAAGUGUUCUGGCAUGUAGUAAUACUACUUGUGGCUUUUUGGCAAUACAUUUUCUCAGCUUGCUUUCUUUGUACUCUACCUUUGUAGAAUAAAUGGUUUCUAAUUUUGAAAAAAAAAAUUAAAAACAUAAGACUGCAGUAUAUGAUUAAGCAAACAUUGGUGUUUAGAAAACACCUUUUGAGGAAGCCAUGCUUAAUGUUCAGAAACAGGAAUAUGACAAAAAGGUGAAUGCAUGAGAAAUGUAUGCCACUGGAAUUUUUUUGGAGAGGAAAGAGUCUCCCAUGAUGUCUCAAUGGUGGAAAACAGUUUCUUUUCCAUAUUAUCAAGUGCCUAGCUACAACAUUCGUGGAAUGCCUUGUUUUUAGUUCUAGAAAUAGAGGAGAACUUAUCUUUUCCAAAAUAUUGUUCUGUAAAUUUGAAUUGAUGAGCAAGUGGAGACGAUGCAUUAGUUUAAGGAUCUGAAUCAUAACCUGGGUGUCCACUAAAAUAACAUUACUGUCCUUCACUCUAAAUCUCUGACUGCAAAAACAAUGGCAAGGCGGAUGCUGCUGAUUAUAUUACCUUUGGCUUACCCAGCACCUAAUACCCCUUAACAUAAGGAUUACAUUAAGAUUUCCCCCUCUCUUUGUAGCUCACUCUUUCCUGGAAGCUGGCUGUCCAUCAGUGUGUGUGAGAGAGGUGAUAAGUAUGAUGCUUCCAUAAUACGUUUGGAUGUUUUCAGCUAAGUUCACUUUCAAACUGUGGGGUUCCUCCAAAUGUUGGCUGAAAUUUAUUCUUGCAUGUCCCAAGGCUCAUCUGCAGGAGUCCACAGUUCCUGAUGGAUCUAGUGUCCUGGCUGUUGGAAGGAGGAGAUUGUGCAGACAGAAAGAUUCAGCCAUCGGUCUUUGAAAUUUCCUGACAUCCGUUUCAGUCUAGAUGGAAAAGAAUUGGAAAAAUCAAGCGCUCAGGGGAUUUAAAUAUGUUUUGAAUGUUUCUGUUUAUAGACGACAGUAUUUUUCCAGUUGAGCUCCUUGGUGUCCCUGUAGGGGAAGGGUAAACUCUUCUUCAUCAUCAAUUUUAUUGAAAAUGCUUAAGACAUAAAAUGUUGCUGAAAUAAUUCCUGUUUGAAACAAAGUGAAGGAAAAAAAUGAAAUAAAUUUUAUAUGGUGACUGUU